This 458-nucleotide RNase P RNA is filed under the name Desulfuromonadales bacterium. Its description in RNAcentral is "RNase P RNA component class A". It matches the Rfam family "Bacterial RNase P class A". From Rfam's summary of the family: Ribonuclease P (RNase P) is a ubiquitous endoribonuclease, found in archaea, bacteria and eukarya as well as chloroplasts and mitochondria. Its best characterised activity is the generation of mature 5'-ends of tRNAs by cleaving the 5'-leader elements of precursor-tRNAs. Cellular RNase Ps are ribonucleoproteins. Lineage: Bacteria; Pseudomonadati; Thermodesulfobacteriota; Desulfuromonadia; Desulfuromonadales. The record is from RNAcentral.
AGAGAAGGACAGAUGAUCGCCGCCUGGCGCAGCGUUGCUGCGAGCGGGGGGAGGAAAGUCCGGGCUCCACAGGACAGGAUGGUUCCUAACGGGAACCGGGGGUGACCCCAGGGAAAGUGCCACAGAGAGAAGACCGCUUCUCCUUCGCUAAAGCUUCGGCGAACGAGCUGAUCCAUGUGAAAAGCCUGUCCGCCGCAGCCACCGCUUGCGGUGGCGCUGGAGAAGUAAGGGUGAAAGGGUGAGGUAAGAGCUCACCAGUGCCGGUGGUGACAUCGGCAGCUCGGUAAACCCCAUCCGGAGCAAGGCCAAAUAGGGGAGUGUCUGAGGACGGCCCGUCCGAAACUCCCGGGUCAGGCUGCUUGAGGCCGUCGGCAACGGCGGUCCUAGAGGAAUGAUCGUCGCCACGCAGCAGGUAACUGCUACGGGGAACAGAACCCGGCUUACGGUUGUCUCCGACC